RNA transcript from Brassica napus (rape), 4994 nucleotides. It is a transcript of the gene named 60S ribosomal protein L37-2, with no coding region annotated. The transcript has 7 exons. Lineage: Eukaryota; Viridiplantae; Streptophyta; Magnoliopsida; Brassicales; Brassicaceae. The record is from RefSeq and is a predicted model, not a curated record.
UAAUAACGACUGGUCGAACCUAUUAUCUAAAAUCUAAUAAACACCUCUUCGUCUUUGACAACUUGCUUCAUAGCUUUGUAGGGUUCUUCGUGUUCUUCAGGUUCUGAUUUCAUAAACGACCAUGGAGAUUCUGGAAGGUUAUGGGAGACGACUUCUUACGAAAAAUCUCUUGAGCGAUUUGUUGUUUAUGUCCUUUGGACUGUAUUUAUUUUGUGGUAUUGGGAAUUCGAAUCGUUACGGGAUGACUGAGAUGCUUUUAGUCGUUGUCAUUAACGACCAUCUUAACUCCUAAAUCUCACUCUUACCACGAUUCAUCAUUCAAUGCACCUGCCUGCUCUUUCAGUCGGUGAUUCUCCGUGUAUAAAAAGGUUAGUCUUCAUUCCCUUAGCAUCAUCCUUUCAUCCAUUACAACUCAGACAACUUUCCUUUAGGAGAAUGUCGAACUCAUCUGUCUUCCUAGCUUACUUGAAAGCGGUCGAUGUAGCACCACCGCCAAAGUCAUCUGCUUCUUCUUAUAGCUAAGGUAACUCCGGUGAUAUGGAAAAAAAUAGCUUCCCUUCUCUUUUCAGAUUUGUUAGGAUUAAUCACAAGGUGGCGAGCUUAUGGCUUCGAACAGGUGUCACUGUCCGACUCUCCUAUGUUGAUUUGAUCUAAAAUUCAACUAUGCAACUUCCCCAGCAUCAAGUCGUCCAAUACUAUGACCAAGCUUUUUAUUGGUUCUUAUUUCUUAUUAUUUAUUCUUCAGAAAAGUCCACCCUCAGCCUAACGUUUUGUUUGCCGUGCCUAAAUUAUUAUGAUCUAAUCUAAUGAAAUGUUUCUGAUUCACAAAAAAAAAUGUAAUUGGUAGAUGGGGCCGCAUUCGCUGGAAAACAUCCACAGCUUGGUCUAAACAAACUUAUUAUACUCCAGAUGGUCCAGAGGUUUGCUAUUAGAGCCAUUACUCAUAAUUCUCUUUCUUGGAACACAAAAAAAAAACAGAAUUUUGGGAACAUAUUCUUUUGACAGUACUCACAACAUAUGAUAGUUGGUCAGAAGAGACCGGUUUUGUUUAUGUCACCGUCGCCAUACCUACGGUUUAUUGACACCCUCCCCUGUGUAUUAUUUUUCUUUUAUACAUUUUUCUCAAAAGUGUUAGAUUUUGCUGACAACUCUGAUUUAGAUUGCAGUAUAUUAUACCUUAUAUUUUUGUUAAAGUUUUGUUAACGCGCAUCCGCUUAAAUGACGAAGGGAACAUGGAGUUUCGGAAAGAGGAGGAACAAGAGUCACACUCUCUGUGUGAGAUGUGGCCGUCGCAGCUUCCACAUCCAGAAGAGCUGUUGCUCCACCUGUGCUUACCCUGCCGCUCGCAAGAGGACCUACAACUGGAGUGUGAAGGCAAUCCGUAGAAAGACUACAGGAACUGGAACGAUUAGGUAUCUUCGCAAUGUGCCUCACAGGUUCAAGACCAUAUCAGAGAAGGUACCGAAGCUAAGCCAAAGAACAAGGCAGCGGCUUCAUCAUCUUAAACUGUUGUUUUGAGUAUUUAAAGGAAGAGAGUUAACUUAGUUUUUGGCUUCUGAGUUUGUUCGCACAUGAUUACUAUUAUUGAUCAUUUCAUUAGUAAUAUCCUUCGGUUGUGUUGUUUACUUCUUUUUUAUAAAAGUUUUGAACUUGGAUGAGAUUUCUUUUACCUCUGCAAUUUACAAGUCUUUUUUCCAUUAUGUAUUCCGUCUUAGACUACGUCUUUUAUCGACUGUGUCCAAUUGUCCACCAUUGUCCAGCUGCAUGGGUUAUUGGAUUGUUUUGGCAAUUUGAAAAAAAAAACAAAAAGGAAGGGACUCUUAUCCCAGAUCCUUAUCCCAGAUCCUUAAGUGGGGUUUUUAAGAAAAUCAAGGAUUUAAUUAAAUCAAAAAUAAUUAAAAUGGGAGUAGUCGAUCCUUAAUAGGAGACUUUUGUAACCGAUUUAGAAUGGGUUUUUUAGAACACGUGUCAAUCUUUCCUAAAUCUCAAUUUUUUUUUUUCUGUUUCUCUCGUGUUCUCCGUCUUCUGUCGUCGUCUCCAUCUCCUUUGACUUCUCUCCCUGGACGAUACAAUUUUCCCUAAGUUAACAACAAAAGCACUCUCCUUUCGUUUCUUCAGCUACCAAAUCACUCUCUCCCUCUCUAAUAAGCCUUAGGUUUCAACCAAGCACCGCCGUUGUUUUAUCGGCGUCGGUCAGUCGCGCAGGAUUUAUCAAGCGGUGCGGUUUGAUUAAGCCGAGAAGAACCGCCCGGUUCGGGACGAUGGCUAUGGCGGCUGCUCCUCUCAAAAUCUGCGUCAAAGCUUCCAUCACUACACCCAACAAGCUCGGAGACUGCCCUUUUUGCCAAAGGGUGUUGUUGACUAUGGAGGAGAAGCAUGUGCCUUAUGACAUGAAAAUGGUGGAUUUGAUACAACCCAUUUCCAUUGUGGAGAGGAAAUGGUUAUGUUACAAUGUUUGCUCAAGGUGGAACUCAAGCGGCUCCUUACCUGACUAGCACCUUCUACAUCGAGCGACAAAAGACUUGGUGUUUAUCCGAGGUGAUGUUGUGUUCACAAGCAAACUCACUGACGAGGAGGCGAAAUGGAUCAUGGAGACCGCUCAGUCGUUUUACUUGAACGACACUCGGUACAAGCUGCUCGAGAGGUAAUAAAAACUUGUAUUCUUGUGUUCUUGAGCAGGGCCGUGCCUGACUAGAGGAUAAUCAAGCACCUGCUUGGGGCCAAAAAUUAGAUAAAUAGUUUUAUGGGCCAAAUUUAUUGUAAAAGUUGUCUACAGCAUAGUUGGUAACAGUCCCCAUUACUACUCUAGAGCCCCGGGUUCAAACAGAACUAUAGGAAUUUUGACAUUUUUCCAAAAAUAUUAUAUUUUAAGGGCCAAAUUUUUUUAAUGCUUUAGGGCCCAUAAUAUUCAGGCACGACCCUGUUCUUGAGACACGCUUGUAUUAGAAUUGUUUUUGUAUGGUAAUCAAAACUACAUCACACAAAUGGUUGAGAAUUCUUUCUCCAAUCCUAUCUUUAAUUUUUUUUUUUUUAAGAAACCCCUUAUUAAGAAACUCCCAUUGGAGGAAGAAAAUUAGGUGAUUCUUAACUAAAUUCCUUAACUAAAAUUUAAUACUUAAAUAAUCAUUAAGAAACCUAAUGAGUUUCUAGGGAUAAUCAUGCUCUUAUUAGCUUUUGACCAAACCAUGAAUACACGAUUAACGGUUUCCAACAAUCUUCUGAUGGUUUGAUUAAUUUUACUUCAGUUUAUUUUCUGCCAGACUGCUCAAAACUGAACACUUGUGAUGAUGAUAUAGAUUGUUUAGGUCCGUUUGAUUAGACUAGAUCUGGAUUCAGAUUUGUGUGUUUAUUCACACAUGUCUUUGUCUAAUCUUUGGAUGUAUGACAUUUUAUGUUGAGUCUUAUAUAUUGAAAUAAAUAUUAGGUAGUUAUAUACUUAUUUUUUUCUCUAUAUGUAUAUUUAACCUUUUCCAAAUCGAUGAUUGUUGUUCAAUUUUUUGACAGUAUUCAUUAGCAUUAUUGCACAAAUACAAUGGACUAAUAUUAAAAUGUCUUUUCACUCGACUCAAUAUAUCCGAAGAAUAAAAGAGUAUUCUAAGAAUAUAUUUGAACAUUAUAUUAUGAAAUAUAGUUAAUCGCGGCAUAAUAUAAGGUUGAAUAUUAUAACAUCAAACAAUUUUAACCAUAGUAAUUGAUAUACAUAAAAUAUUAAUUUCUAAAAUAAAAUUUAAAAUAUAUAGAUAAAAUGGUUGUAAAAUAAUUAUGAACAUGGUAUUUAAAAAAAAAAAUUAGAGAUUUUAAAUAAAUUUGUAUUAUUAUUUUGUUUAUUCGCCUGUCCUGCCCGCCCGUAGGGCGGGUUUACCCUAGUAUAUAUAUAUAUAUAUAUAUAAAUUGUUAAAACAACUUGUUUAAAUUCCAACAGUUGGAUCUCCCUUUUCCCACCAACUAUAGAUCAGAUCAAAUACCAACUGGUGGUGGAGUUUCCGGUGGGAGAGAAAGCUUUCCAUCUUCUUCUUCCUUUGUUUGUGUAACAAAUAUUUUGAUUUUGGUAUUGGAAUGAUUUAAAUUCAGUUCGUUUAAUCAUAAUGAAGCAAGCUUGGGCAUUAAACAAAUUAUAGGCCCAAACCUGUGGGCCAGAUUUGGAGUUAAAGAAUAUAAACCAUGGAAUAGGCCCAAAUUCUUGUGUAUAUAUAUAUAUAUAAAUUUUGAUCUAGGGUUUCCGACUUCGUCAGUUUGUUUAGGAGGCAGAGUUAGUCAUGGCUAGAGGUCUUUGCCGCAUGGUAAUGCGUUGUGAACCCAAUUCGUUUACAGAACCUCGUCCAUACCGACCUCCCGUACGCAAACACAACCUCUUCCAACAAAAGAGAUUGGCCGAACUACGUGAAGGAUCUCAAGUCUCGGUGGAGAUCCAAUCAGAUAAGAGUCUGAAGGGAACUGAACAGGAUCAGACCACUCUUGUCUCAGGAAUUGAUAUUCAGGAAAAGUCGUCGUCUGAUGUUGUUGCUAGCACCUCGAAGCCUCAGACGCCAUCACCGAGUUUGGUCGGGAUGAAGAAAACACUAGGUUCUCAAGUCUCGUUGCUACGUUGUUCUACCUGUAUGCAAAUAAUCCAGUCCGAUAAGAGUCUAAAGGGAUCUUCUGAUCAGGAUCAGACCACUCUUGUCUCCCAAAUUGAUAUACAGGAAAAGUUGUCGUCUGAUAUCGUUAGUAGCACCUCCAAGCCUCAUCAAGGUAAGCAUCUCCGAUCAAGUUCAAAGAUGCACAAGCCCAAAGCUUUUCUAAAGAAGAAGAAGAAGAAGAAGAAGAAGAAGAGCUCACGCAAAGCUGUAUCCACCACCUAAGUUACCACCACUAUCUAUUUCCUCUCUUUUUCUUUUUUUUUGUACCUUUUUAUGCUUGAUCACGACUUAAGUUAUGUUGUGCAAUCCUUGUCAUGAUAAUGUGCCCGUUGUCUUUUAUCGUUGCAAAAUAAUUGCUAGUCAUUAAUUUGAUCA